Molecule: signal recognition particle RNA, 100 nt
Filed under: Lachnospiraceae bacterium
Lineage: Bacteria; Bacillati; Bacillota; Clostridia; Lachnospirales; Lachnospiraceae
Description: signal recognition particle sRNA small type
Rfam family: Bacterial small signal recognition particle RNA
About the family: The signal recognition particle (SRP) is a universally conserved ribonucleoprotein involved in the co-translational targeting of proteins to membranes.
Source: RNAcentral
CUCCGGGUCUUACGCAAUAAGUGUCUGUGAACCGUGUCAGGUUGGGAACAAAGCAGCACUAAGCAGAAUUACUUAUGUGCCGUAAGGUCGCCUGGAAGAU